GGUUGCGAUCAUACCAGCACUAAUGCACCGGAUCCCAUCAGAACUCCGCAGUUAAGCGUGCUUGGCCGAGAGUAGUACUAGGAUGGGUGACCCCCUGGAAGUCCUCGUGUUGUAGCCC
Molecule: ribosomal RNA, 118 nt
Filed under: Helianthus annuus (common sunflower)
Lineage: Eukaryota; Viridiplantae; Streptophyta; Magnoliopsida; Asterales; Asteraceae
Source: RNAcentral